Molecule: non-coding RNA, 3580 nt
Organism: Heterocephalus glaber (naked mole-rat)
Lineage: Eukaryota; Metazoa; Chordata; Mammalia; Rodentia; Bathyergidae
Source: RefSeq, a predicted model, not a curated record
AUGGUUUGUGAUUACUAAACCACUAUACGUGAGUGAUUCCUUUGGUACCACCCUAAUCCCUGUAGUCUGAAUGAGAUAAAAAGUGUAGAAAGACACUGGGAAGGUCUCUUGUUACCUUUGCUACCUUGUGUGCGCCAUGUUGUUUCGCCUCUGUGAUACCUGUUUGCCAUCCCUGCCUUGGAGCCAGCCGAUUAUGGACUGAAACCUCUACAAAUUGUGAGCAAAUAAAUCCUUUCUCCUUUAACUUUGGGUGUUGGGUAUUUUGUCUCAGCAAUGAGAGACAAGUAACUAAGACAGCUCAUGUGCUUUAACAUCUUCUAAUUGGCAGGUUGAAAGACUUUUUACAGCACUGAAAAAGUGAGCAAAACUAGAGCACUUAUUUUUUUUAACUAAUAGCGGAACAUACCUGAUAAAGUGCCUUUUAAAAUUAAUUUGUGAAAGUAAACAAAUUGCUCACCUAUAAUGUUGUACAGUGCAGUAAAUAUUUUGUUUUUCUUAAAUUGACAGUAUUGAGGCAUUAUAAUGACUUCUGACAUCAACUACCUAGAGUUAGGCUGAUUUGUGCCUUCCGCAAAACUGCCUUUACUUUAGAUUCCAGCCACAAGUUUUGGAGUUCCCAGGGAUGUCUUCAACAGAUCAGAAGUUUAGGGAUUCCCUUGACCUCAUCUGGUUUGAUAAUUGCAAAAAUGGCUCUGUGAAUUUAGGAUUAUGACAUACUUACAAUUACAGUGUAAUUAUAUCAAAAGGAUACAAAUAAAAACAUAUGGGAUGAAGUCUAUGAGGGUCCCAAAUGUGAAAUUUCCAUAAACCCCACAUAUGUGUUACCUUCCAGCCUUUUAAUGUGAGGAAAUAUUAGAAUGUUCCUAGUUGAAAACUACUCUGAGCUUUGAUGCUCAGAGAUUUUAUUGGAGUUCAUUAUAUAGCAGAAUAGAUUACAAUGCUGGUCAUAAAGUUGAAAUCAAUCUCCAGCAUGGCUUUUGUGCCUGGGCUGAUAUCUCAAGGCUCAAAAUCCUAGUACUUGAAUCACAUGGUUUGUCUGGGCAUGGACAGCUCCCAACUUGAAUAUUCUCCUUAUUAUAAGCUAUCCAGGGCCACUAUCAGAGAUAUUAGUAGCUUAAAGCAUCAGGGACCACCAUAGAUAACACAACAGUCCUAGUACUUGGAAAACUCCAAAGAGUUAAGAGUCUACCAUUUUGGAACUGAGUUAAUUAUGAAUAGCAGGGGGGAACAGCUUCCUCUAAGAACAGAGAGGAACAAUUUCAGAAAGAAUAAGAUCUAUUGGCUCAGAUGUCAGGCCGACAUCUGAGUUUGUGUCAAUAAUCCUCUUAGAAUGUGGAACCAAGAAGUUGCUUGAUCAGCCACAAAUGGUAAGGUGAAUGCAAUAUACAUAAAUGUUUGCUCACUUUGACUAGUUUAUGAUUGACUUGAAAACACAUGAAUUUUCUCUUUGAUGAUGGGCGCAUACACCACAGUUCUCGGAAAACUUCUAAUCUUGGAUCCUCUUUUCAUUUCCUUCCUAUUUUGUUCCCUUGCCAUAUGAGUUCCCAUUUUUAUUAUAUUUUCAUAAAUGUAGCAUGGUUAAAGGCUGCUGUUCUCACUGUGCAGGUCUUGGGAGUUGGACCUCUGUUUGUGACUGAGUGGCUUCACACUGUGGUUUCUCAUGACAUUUCUCUCAGGGAUACUUGUCUGCUUAUUGUGAAUGAUGUCAUCUCGUUGAAUGAUCGAGCAAUUUACCAACAUCUUUGUUCCUUCUUUAUAAUGUAUUUUAAGGCAGAUCUAUAGCAUAUUUUCUGAGAAAGCAGGAAAUCUCUUCUCAACAUGGCUUCAGAAAAGACUCAUGCUGAAGCAAGGUUCAAAAAUGAAUCCAUGUCCUCAGGCACUGAUUCAGACUCUCCAGAAGAUCCCAAAGAGAAGACUAUCUCUCACAAAAGUAAUCCUGGUAUUCCCAAGCUGCUUCUAGCCUCACUGCUGAUACUGUUUUUGCUGAAGGCAGUCUUAUCAUCUGUCCCUUCUAUCAUUUUAUAUGAAAAAUAUUCCCAGCAUCUUGAAGAAAAAAUGACUGUAAAAGGACUGGUUCAUACAGAAUUGGGAGUGUGUAAAAAACAAUUCGACCACACAAAGUAAAACUUAAUGUAUCUGGAACUGCACUGCUGACUACAGUAUGUCAGGAUCCCACAACAGUAUUUCCAAGUAGAAUCUCAGGAAGAUCCUACUGAGAAAUGGAACCUCAUCAUCAUUUUAAGCUUCAAGUGUACAAAUAUGUAGGACAUAAAAUUCUUUUUUUGUGUGUGUUAAAUUCUUUUAUUGGUACAUUGUAGGUAUACAACACAAUUACAUUUCUCAUUGGGAAUUGUACCUUUACAUAAUACAUCUUGGUUCUUAUUUUUUCCCCAUUCCUAGCCCUCCCUUCACGCCCUCCACCCUUCCCUAUUUACAAAGAUUUUAUUUCCAUUUCUCAUCAUUUUUCCUUUCCCUUCUUUAGGACAUAAAAUUCUUAUAUGUGUACCUUAAUUUGUCUAUGCAAGGCUUGAGAAUGGUCAAAGUUAUAUUGCUUUUGGAUUUCUUCAGCCUUUCCUUCUGAGUGUCCUGUGCUCACUGCUUUCUUUCACAUCUCAGUUAAAACCAUUUGAUGAAAAUGAUGUUGGUGACUACUUUAUGACAAAUGUGAAUUAUUUAAAAAUUUAAAUGAACAUAUUAUUAAGAAUAUUUUUAUAUUUACAAAAAUUAAGCAGAUAAUCUGAAAAGAUAAUAUUCAAAAUCCGCCGUGGGCACAUAAGAUAUACUGCCCUCUACUACUAACAUUUUACAUAAGCAGGGGAAUUAAUUCCAACUAAUGAACACACUAUCAGUGCAGUUCAUGAUUAUACUUGUUUUCUUAUUUUUCACCUAAAUAUUCUUUUUCUGUUUGAGAAUUCCUUCUAAGAUUUCUGUCACCUUCCUUUUAGUUGCCAUUUUAGUCUCCUUUUGACUGUAAUAGUUUUAUAGAUUUUCCUUGUUUCUGAUGACCCUGAUAAUUACGUGCAAUAUUGGUUCCCAUGUUUAAGUAUAUCUCUGUUAGAGUUUGAUGUUUUUUAUGAUUAGAUUGGGAUUGCUGUUUUUGGCAGGAAAGGAGCAGGUGUAAAGUGCUAUUUUCAUCACAUACUCUAGAGGUAUAUAUUAUUAUAGUGAUUUCUUCCCUUUUGGUGUUGACAUUUAUCAUUUGGAUAAGGUAGUUUUAUUCGGGUUUGUCCACUGUUAAGCUUCUUUUCCCCUCCUCUCUUCACAGUACACUAUAGUUGCUAUACACUUUUGGAGAGUUUGUUCCCUACCCUUCAGAAUAGAGUAUUAUAUUCAUGAGGGUUCUCAGAGAAACAGAACCAAGUGAAUAUGUAGAUAGACAUUAUUUUUAAAUAAAUACCUCAUGCAAUUUUAGAUGUGCAAAAAAGUUCAAAUCUGGACGCCCUACCAAGGUCCCGAGUCACGCGGAACACACCGAAUCAGCCCGCUGCAGACAGGCAGCCACCUGGUUCCACACUACGAAGACGCAGAGGACACCAGACCACCAGACCACGGUACUGAGCCACCGUCCCACUGCUCCUGG